Sphingomonas sp. IBVSS1 is the source of this 344-nucleotide non-coding RNA. Lineage: Bacteria; Pseudomonadati; Pseudomonadota; Alphaproteobacteria; Sphingomonadales; Sphingomonadaceae. The record is from Rfam.
GGGAUUGAGGAAUCACCCCCGACACCCUACAUGGAUCGUGCCGGCUUGCCGGCUAUGGCGAUAAAUGAUGCCGUGGAAUAGACGCAGCGGACCCGGGGGCAGUACCCGGCGGCUCCACCAUUCUCAAUCCCGUUGUCGGGGUGAAGUGCGGGGCCGAACCAGGAUCGACGUGUGUUCAAAGACGGUGUUUUUGCCCGGCCUGAAUGCGCCGUUAAACCGUUCAAAACCCACAAAUGCCAACGACAACGAGGCAUUCGCGAUCGCGGCGUAAUUGAGUCCUAACGGACGAAAUUACCCCAAGAGAACGCGGCACGGGCCACGCCGGGCAACAGAAGUGGAUUCCA